RNAcentral lists this ribosomal RNA (424 nucleotides) under uncultured bacterium. Its description in RNAcentral is "bacterial SSU rRNA". It matches the Rfam family "Bacterial small subunit ribosomal RNA", at positions 917 to 1344 of the family's 1533-position model. The record is from RNAcentral.
GGGCCCGCACAAGCGGUGGAGCAUGUGGUUUAAUUCGAUGAUACGCGAGGAACCUUACCAGGGCUUAAAUGUAGUCUGACAGGGGUGGAAACACCCCCUCCUUCGGGCAGAUUACAAGGUGCUGCAUGGUUGUCGUCAGCUCGUGCCGUGAGGUGUCAGGUUAAGUCCUAUAACGAGCGCAACCCCUACCGUUAGUUGCCAGCGAUUCAAGUCGGGGACUCUAACGGGACUGCCGGUGCAAACCGUGAGGAAGGUGGGGACGACGUCAAAUCAUCACGGCCCUUACGUCCUGGGCUACACACGUGCUACAAUGGCCGGUACAGAGAGCAGCCACUACGCGAGUAGGAGCGAAUCUUCAAAGCCGGUCUCAGUUCGGAUCGCAGUCUGCAACUCGACUGCGUGAAGCUGGAAUCGCUAGUAAUCG